This is a long non-coding RNA of Phyllostomus discolor (pale spear-nosed bat), 4503 nucleotides long. RefSeq lists it as uncharacterized. The transcript is spliced from 2 exons. NCBI's taxonomy places the organism in Eukaryota, Metazoa, Chordata, Mammalia, Chiroptera, Phyllostomidae. The record is from RefSeq and is a predicted model, not a curated record.
UCACCUCAAUAUAUUUAAUUAAAAACAGCGCUAAAGUGGCAAAAAGAGAAAAAGAUUUGCACUAUCUGGUCAGUAAAAUAAAUUAUCAUACUUCAAUUAAUAUGCACAAGAAAUUCUUAUUUGGUUUUCUAAGACAUACACACUACAAAUUAUAUUUCUUACCAGACUAUAUAUGUUUUUUUAUACUAUAAUAUAAAUUAGUACUCUUCAUUUUUUUUGGAUUUCCUAGUUAAACUACAGAAAACAUUAGGUUUCAGAUUUCUGGGUAAAUGAUCAAAAUCCCUCUUCUUCCUAAAACCCUCCUCCAAAUAAAAAAAUAAAAGCUUGAUCUUUAUGCAAGAAAAAUCUUAUUUAACCACUACACUUUCCUCUGGCCAAAGUGAUCCUACAGCCUAUUACUGAUGAGAAACAUCUGAGAAAGUGGGUUUCUCAGAAACAUAUUAACUAGGAUUUUGCAAAAAUAGAAAUCUUUUCCCCCAAAUGGUUUUGAGAACCAACAGGCAAAACAAAAUAAGACAUGUCUCUUCAUGCAGCGUUUGAGUCCUCAGAACUCUAACAUACUAUUUAUUGGAAACUGAUCUCUGAGAAAAGAAUGCAUAAUAUGUGAAUUUAUCAUUGUAAUUUAACUAGAAAACGCCUUUUCAAAGCCCAGAAAGAGUUGAAAAGAAUACCAAAAGGGUUGCACAUAUAACCCUAACAUAGGCUUAAAAAAGGUUUUAAGUUGUUAAAUGGUUUAUAAUAAAAAUCAAAACCUGUAACAGUUCAUUAUUUUUCUAUACUAGUAAAUAGAAUAAGAAUGUCAUUUUUUGAAGGGAAAAUUUUAAAUGUCAAAACAAGAUAUAUGUAUCAUUAAAGCCAAAAAACUAUGUUAAUUUCAAAUGAAGAGAACUUUGGGGCUAAGUUAAGAAGUAAAAAAUACUCUAAAAAGAGACUCACACAAAACGUUAGGGAAAGACUUUUUACUUUCUGGUAAUACAAAUUAAAAAGACCUCAAAAAGGAAUGGGUUCAUGAUUCAAGGAUAUUCCUACCCCAAGAUUAUUCACUGGCAUAGCUCUAACUCUUUUCAAAGCUAGACAUUAAAUUAAAAAAUCACAAAGUCCCAUUAAAUUCAAAAGGGAUAAAUUUUUUAAAGGAAGUACGUCAAAUGACAUUGUACAGUUUCAUUAGUGCACCAAGUUUUCCUGUCCAAGGGGUGGCUCUAUCAGGUCACAGGAGGAAAGGUGUGUGGCAAUUUAGUUGGGGGGGGGGGGGGGGGGGGGGGAGAAUGCAGCCACCACUGGCUCCCAUGGAGGCUGUAACUGUUUUUUGAAAGUUGACAAUGCUUAAAUCACAAGCACAUGUGGAAUAAAGAAGUUCCCACUCUUCUUUCUCAUAUGAGCUGUAUUAGUCACUUUGUUUUCCCAUAAGCUGAUAACAAUACCAUUUUGUGGAUUCUGUGGUUUCCAGAAAAAAAGAGUAAGGUUUAUAUUUUCAAACCUCCAGUUAAGAAGAAAUUUUUCAAUAAAAGAGAAUACAGAUUCACAGAGAUGCUGAUUCUAAGCAAAACUUCAACUAUGGGGCAUUCCAAAUUCUCCACAUAAAGCAAUGUAGAGACAGUAGGGGAUAUAUAAGAGGUUAUAACUUCAAGUAAAACUUUUCCAUUUCACAACCAGAAUAUAAGACAGUAAAGACAACAUUUUAAAAUGUGGAUACCAUGAAACCAACUGACCAGAUACAUGUAAGGACCCUAGAACUACCAAACAUAAAGUGUCCUUGACAACACAACACCAAGUAAAUAAACAAAUCCACAAAAUCUCCUUUCAAACAACGGCACAGAAAUAUCUUAUCUUAACAAUGUCAUAAAUCCUAACACACAAAGUAAAGGACAUUUUCCUGAAACAUAAUAUGCUACCUUAAACUUUACAUUGCUAUGUGUUAAAUAUUAAAAUUUCAAAUGCUAAAGAAGAUAACUUGUGUAUAAGACAUUUUGAUUGUAUCAAAGCACAGUACUCUAGGCCUUAAAAUGGAAGUAUAUGACAAGACUUUUAAAAACCAUCUGAAGCAGGAGAAAUUGAAAUAAGGGGUAUCAGAAUGAAAGUAGGAGAAACUUACAUGGUAUGCUUUCAAAUAUGUCUAUGGUUCUGUAUCAGGGAAGCUGUGCUUUGCUCCUUUCACAGGGAAUUGGGAAGGCGAUGCUGUCACCUCCUCACUCUAACCAGCUCCCUAAAUCCAGGGAUUAGGUUCACUCAGCUGAAGCCAAGAUGAGCUUGCCACUGAAACUAAGGAUAUAUUUACCAUGCACUUAUAGAAUUGGUUUCUAUGGACAGAUUUAGCAUGUGUAUAUUUAGCAUAUCUAUAGGCAAAUAAUUGUAUACAUCUAUAGAAUUUAUACUGAUAUUUAUAUAUCUGUUUAUAGAAUUAACAUUUAUAUGUAGGCUAAUUCUGUGAAAACAACUAGCCUCUCAGAAUAAAAGCAAAAGAUAAGUUAUAAAAGUAUUAUAUUAGUUUCCAAAAUAAGAAUUUCAAACUAUCUCUUUUAAGAAGAUAUGGGGUUUAAUACUCCUAUGAGUACAUCUUUUAUAAAACCACAAAACCACUGUUAAAUAUAAACAAUGACUAAAUAUGUUAUAGGAAUGCUAUAUUUUUCUAGCUUCGAUUCACAGUAACCUUGGUGUAAAGACUCUUCCCCAAGUUUUCCACUGUUACCAAUUUUUAACAAAAUUCUUUAAAGGUUAUAAAUCAAUCAAUUAUCUCAACUCAAAACUUGUAUUUUCAACAAAAAUACUCAAAGUUAAGGAUUUUGAUUGGAUUCUAUGAUCAAAAACAACAUUCCAUGAUUGAAAAGAAGUUUUUUUCUUCUAUGAUGAAACAUUUUUUGGAAUGUAUAAUAAAAAGUUAAAGGUUGAUUUCCCUUAUCCUCAAUUAUACGAAUAGAUUCAGAUGACUGAUUUUACAGCGCCAGAUCAGGUAAACUCACUACCAUUUCUGAAAGAUGAUUGUAUGUCUGCUGAUAAGAAUCUACUUUAUGUUAUGUGUUAUAAAAGUUUUAUGUUACCAUCUCUGCUGCUUUAAUUAAGGCUUACUCUACCAAGGCUUUUUAUCUGUGCUGAGAUGUGUGCCCUAGGGACCUUACUUGGUUAAGUACCUGUUAACCCUUUCAUGUCAAGUAUCCUAUUUUUAUAAAGAAAAGUGAGUUUUCAGUGCAAAUUUUAGUCCUUACUUAUUAACUCACUACUCAGUUUGGUCCCAUUAGUUUCCUCUUUCCUGAAACCCUCACCUGCCAGGCUCCCUGCCCCUGCUGCACUGGCUCCCAAACACGGGUGCUUCCCAGUGCUCUGCGAACACUGAGAUACAGAGCAAAAGAUAAAAUUACUUCAUCUUUACUACCUGAGUUUUAAAAUUUCUCUUAUGAUAUUAAUGUGUUCUAGUCUAUGCUUAAUUUAAAAAGAAGAGAUGGAAAGUGCGUAUGUAUUAACUGCAAAAAGUGCUAUGACUAAUAACAAACUGCACCAGGAAAGAGACUAAUAACUCAAAUGCCAUAUAGUUCUCUGGCUCUAUGAUAAACUUAAGAAAAUAAAGAUUUUUAGAAUGAAAUACAGCACAUUAAACAUUAAGACACAGAUUAUCUGUUUUGAAAUAAAAUGAAUGCGACCUCAGGAGACACUUAAAAGAUGAAUGAUACUUUGAAAUACACCCAGAGUCUUCGAUUGUCCUUUAACAAGGGGGGGAAUGGCUGUGGGGGUGAGGGGAUAGGGUAGGGGGGAGCAAUAGGGGAAAAGGCGGGACAACUGUAACUGAACAAUAAAAAAUACAAAAUAUAUAAAAAUAAAAAGGCCCUUAGAGCCUUCAACCUGCAGCAAAUAUAAUAACCAACUCCAGCUCCCUCUAACCUUCAAAAUGGAGGAAGGGAAAUACUUACCUUACAUUCACACAAAGAAUGAGACCUAAACAUAGAACAUGCUUCCAUUGCCCCCACAUUUUAUUACCAUCUCAACAGGGCUCCAGUAAAGUAACAGGAGAGUGCAGUUGAAAGAAUUGCAAGCCUCAAGCUCUAUUUAAUGUAUCCAUGAGAAAAUCCAAAGACAACAGAGGAGACAGAAACAACAGUGAAGAAAGUUUAUCUUCUAACACUUCAGCCACAGCAAACAGUGAACACAGUGUAACUGCUAGACAGAUAAACCAAACCCUCACUCUCAAGGCCUUAGUUCCUUUUAUUCUACACAUCAUGUCCAGCUUUUAACAAAGAGUUACAAAGAAGUCAAAAGGUAGAAAAUAUAAUCUGAAAAGUCAAAGCAAGCAUCAGAACUAGGUUCAGAUAUGACAGCAAUUUUGGAAUAAUCAGGCCAGGAAUUUAAAGUAACUAUGAUUAAUAUGCUGAGGGGCCUAAGAACAUAGGAGUAACCUAAACAGAAAGGUUGGAAACUCUAAGAAAGAACUGAAAAGAAAUGUUAGAAAUCAAAAUCAUAGUAAUAUAAAUGAAGAUUGCACUUGAUAGGCUCAUUAGUACACAAGACCCGGAGAAG